CCCCCCAAUCUCCCUUUCAUUUUCCUGCUGUCUUACAUGGAGAGAAAGUUCCAGUAAAGCAGCUAAUGAAUCCAGUGUUGUUAGAUUUCUUCUUAUAAAUGAUCAGCGUGGCUUACUACGUUAGAAACUGGUUGCAUUUUACGAAAGGAAGUGAAGUAUUUGCCUACAGCAGAUCUCACGGCGCAGGCUAGGAAGAAAGGGAGACUGAGCGAGCCAGAGGCAUGAAGGGUCCACAGGUGGGCACUCCAGGUCGGCAGACGGUCCAGGGCAAGUCACAGACACCGAGGAAGUGCGUCCGACUUCGGCAGAUAGCCAUGCCGGAAGGGAACCAGGCUUGGGGGGCGGGGCGGCGCGGCGCGGCGGCGGGGGUGUCUGGCAGCCCACUUGCAGAGGCAGCUAGCUGCUCAGGGCAUGUUGGGGCUGACAGGAUGGAUACAGGAAGCUGCCCCCUCCCCCCACCCAGGGGCCCCGAGCAGACGUCCUCCUGCGUUUAACGGACACUGGGGGAUGAACAGAGAGAAAAUCCAAGAGCUCAAAAUGCAGACAGAAGAGAAGCAGAUUUGUACAUGAAGAAGCUGGAACCCAGAAAUGCCAACAGGUGCAGACAAGAAAAGCCUGCUCUUUCCAGCCAAAGGACAAGGAAAGGAACAGCAUAUACGAAGAGAGAAAACUUCUAGAUAGUAACUGCUUUAUUCCAGCUGAACAAUACAGAAAAAAACCAUGGACCAAGUGGGGAGCCCAGAA
This is a non-coding RNA of Oryctolagus cuniculus (rabbit), 744 nucleotides long. The record is from RefSeq and is a predicted model, not a curated record. NCBI's taxonomy places the organism in Eukaryota, Metazoa, Chordata, Mammalia, Lagomorpha, Leporidae.